RNAcentral lists this ribosomal RNA (403 nucleotides) under uncultured bacterium. RNAcentral describes it as "bacterial SSU rRNA". It matches the Rfam family "Bacterial small subunit ribosomal RNA", at positions 30 to 431 of the family's 1533-position model. The record is from RNAcentral.
AUUGAACGCUGGCGGCAUGCCUUACACAUGCAAGUCGAACGGCAGCGCGGGGCAACCUGGCGGCGAGUGGCGAACGGGUGAGUAACAUAUCGGAACAUACCCUAGAGUGGGGGAUAACGUAGCGAAAGUUACGCUAAUACCGCAUACGCACUAAGGUGGAAAGUGGGGGAUUCGCAAGAACCUCAUGCUCAUGGAGUGGCCGAUAUCUGAUUAGCUAGUUGGUGAGGUAAAGGCUCACCAAGGCGACGAUCAGUAGCUGGUUUGAGAGAACGACCAGCCACACUGGAACUGAGACACGGUCCAGACUCCUACGGGAGGCAGCAGUGGGGAAUUUUGGACAAAUGGGGGGCAACCCUGAUCCAGCAAUGCCGCGUGAGUGAAGAAGGCCUUCGGGUUGUAAAGG